This 1054-nucleotide ribosomal RNA is filed under the name Bacillus sp. (in: firmicutes). RNAcentral describes it as "bacterial SSU rRNA". It matches the Rfam family "Bacterial small subunit ribosomal RNA", at positions 37 to 1066 of the family's 1533-position model. Lineage: Bacteria; Bacillati; Bacillota; Bacilli; Caryophanales; Bacillaceae. The record is from RNAcentral.
UGGAAUGGGGUAUAGCCUAUACAUGCAGUCGAGCGGACGAUGAACGCGGAGCUUGCUCCCGGAUGUUAGCGGCGGACGGGUGAGUAACACGUGGGUAACCUGCCUGUAAGACUGGGAUAACUCCGGGAAACCGGAGCUAAUACCGGAUAGUUCCUUGAACCGCAUGGUUCAAGGAUGAAAGACGGUUUCGGCUGUCACUUACAGAUGGACCCGCGGCGCAUUAGCUAGUUGGUGGGGUAAUGGCUCACCAAGGCGACGAUGCGUAGCCGACCUGAGAGGGUGAUCGGCCACACUGGGACUGAGACACGGCCCAGACUCCUACGGGAGGCAGCAGUAGGGAAUCUUCCGCAAUGGACGAAAGUCUGACGGAGCAACGCCGCGUGAGUGAUGAAGGUUUUCGGAUCGUAAAGCUCUGUUGUUAGGGAAGAACAAGUGCGAGAGUAACUGCUCGCACCUUGACGGUACCUAACCAGAAAGCCACGGCUAACUACGUGCCAGCAGCCGCGGUAAUACGUAGGUGGCAAGCGUUGUCCGGAAUUAUUGGGCGUAAAGGGCUCGCAGGCGGUUUCUUAAGUCUGAUGUGAAAGCCCCCGGCUCAACCGGGGAGGGUCAUUGGAAACUGGGAAACUUGAGUGCAGAAGAGGAGAGUGGAAUUCCACGUGUAGCGGUGAAAUGCGUAGAGAUGUGGAGGAACACCAGUGGCGAAGGCGACUCUCUGGUCUGUAACUGACGCUGAGGAGCGAAAGCGUGGGGAGCGAACAGGAUUAGAUACCCUGGUAGUCCACGCCGUAAACGAUGAGUGCUAAGUGUUAGGGGGUUUCCGCCCCUUAGUGCUGCAGCUAACGCAUUAAGCACUCCGCCUGGGGAGUACGGUCGCAAGACUGAAACUCAAAGGAAUUGACGGGGGCCCGCACAAGCGGUGGAGCAUGUGGUUUAAUUCGAAGCAACGCGAAGAACCUUACCAGGUCUUGACAUCCUCUGACAACCCUAGAGAUAGGGCUUUCCCUUCGGGGACAGAGUGACAGGUGGUGCAUGGUUGUCGUCAGCUCGUGUC